Long non-coding RNA from Zea mays, 1686 nucleotides. RefSeq lists it as uncharacterized. The transcript is spliced from 3 exons. NCBI's taxonomy places the organism in Eukaryota, Viridiplantae, Streptophyta, Magnoliopsida, Poales, Poaceae. The record is from RefSeq and is a predicted model, not a curated record.
UGUCAUUUGUUUUGAGCACUCAUUCUAGAGCUUCUAGUUUUCUCUCUAGGUAGAUACCAGUUGAGCCGAGGGUUCCACAGCGAUUUUGCACUUUGACUAUGUUCUUGUUUUUCAAGUUUAAUUAGAGGAAGGUCGUCGGUCCGGCCCACAGGGCUCUUUGGCUUCAAAUUUCAGUUUUUACCCUUGCUCGAAUUUCUAAAGUUUUAUAGUCUUGGUUUCUCUUUUUUCCCGAUCUUGUGUUGUUGGUGAAAAACCUUUGAUAUCUUUGAGAGGAUUUGGUUUGAGGAUUGAUUGGUGGUGAGUUGCACUCUUCGGACCACUGCAUACACCUAGUUGUUGCAGAUUUUGAUCACGAUUUUAAGAAAACUCAGUUUGAACUCGUUCUAGAAAACCCCAACAAAACCCAAUUUCUGACUGUAUUUUUAAAUAUGCGGGUGAUUCACAAGUCCAUUUGAGCUCAAAAUUUGGGGGGAUCUUGGAAACGUAUUUGCUCAGCCGUGUGUAAAAUUUCAUCUCAAUUGGAGUUUGUUUGGUUCAGUUUUGAAUUCAAGAACAGAAUUUCGUACUGCUGUAAACAACACUUGUUGACGAUAUUGUAUUGGACCGUUUUGGACUUUUUGGUGUCUGAUUUGCGAUCCGUUUGUUUUGCUGGUCUAAUGUGAGUAUUAGAAACGUUUUGUAAUCAUGAGAUCACUCGUUCGCUGAUGUGUUCAUGAUUUGAGUAUUUGCUUCAUCUUAAUUAAAAUGAAGUGUUCAUUUUCAGUGUUUGCAAGCAAAAUCUGAUUGGCUCCCAUUCACCCCGGGUCGCCUUACCGGUCCUACAGUAGCAUUCAAAGCGGGUCAAAGCCUAGGCAAGGGAGGCUGCCGAAACACAUGAGGCCGAAAUGGCCAAAUUAAAAUAAGAAAUGGUAAAUCUACGUGAGGAUUUGGAAGUGGAAAAGUCAAAAGAGAAAUCCUUUGUGAUGAAAACGAUAGGCUGCAAAAAUUUGUAGAGGUUUUAUGAAGCUCAUUGGAAAAUUGCGUCUCCACUGCAGCAUGAUGCUGUAAAAACUUAAAUAUAUUUUCUCUUCAAUCGGUGGACGCUCCAAUGAGGUUAAUUUCAUGCAGAGGGAUGCAGAUAGGGUGGUCGAGUGGAUCAAAUAAAGAAGAGAUCUAUGCAUUUGAUGAAGUCCUGUCUAGUAGAAGAGAUUAUUGCGCCUUCAUGGGUUUACGAAGCACGACUUCAAUGCUAGAAAAAGUUAGGUGCACACAUUUGAAGUAUGUUGGAAGCCUGAACUUCAGGCUGUCAAUAGAAAAUAUUAAAAAAAACUUUCGGCUAAUGUUUCCAACGUGGCCAAGAGAUUCUUCACACUUAUUUGGAGCAGAGGAGGAAAAGAAUUGGCUAGAGACGAGGAAAAGGAAAACACGAAGAAGGUUGUCAGUGUUGCCAAAAAACUCGUAGCAAUAACAGAAUCUCGGGACAAAGCCAAGGACCAAGGAAAUUGAAGAACAGGACACUGAUGUUGAAGACAAAGCUUUAGAACGUGCACUAGCUAUUUAUUGGGAAAGUGAAUAAGACAUUAGAUGUUGUCAUACAAAUUUGUACUAAAGUGGCUAAUGAGGUUAUGAAAGAAAACCUGUAGAAGCUUUUGUAAUAUAAACAUUGCGUCUGUAUAAUUGAUGCCUUGCCACUUGCUUUUGUCCUUC